GGGGUUGUUGCUCAGUGGUAGAGUGCUCACCUUGCAUGUGUGAGGCACUGGGUUUGAUUCUCAGCACCACA
This 71-nucleotide transfer RNA is filed under the name Marmota monax (woodchuck). Its description in RNAcentral is "tRNA.Ala". It matches the Rfam family "tRNA". Rfam says of the family: Transfer RNA (tRNA) molecules are approximately 80 nucleotides in length. Their secondary structure includes four short double-helical elements and three loops (D, anti-codon, and T loops). The record is from RNAcentral. Lineage: Eukaryota; Metazoa; Chordata; Mammalia; Rodentia; Sciuridae.